UACUAAGGGUGUGACGAGAUCUCCUUUUACGAGAUCUCGCGAGAUUAAAACGUGACGAGAUUUCUCGUCGAGGUGAAAAGAGAGAGGGAGUGGCUGA
This is a long non-coding RNA of Etheostoma cragini (Arkansas darter), 97 nucleotides long. RefSeq lists it as uncharacterized. The record is from RefSeq and is a predicted model, not a curated record. Lineage: Eukaryota; Metazoa; Chordata; Actinopteri; Perciformes; Percidae. The transcript has 3 exons.